RNAcentral lists this ribosomal RNA (337 nucleotides) under Acanthamoeba sp. AG-2012. Its description in RNAcentral is "SSU rRNA". The record is from RNAcentral. Lineage: Eukaryota; Discosea; Longamoebia; Acanthamoebidae.
GGGUAUUUAAGUUGUUGCAGUUUAAAGCUCGUCACUUGGAUCUAGGAGACGCGCAUUUAUUUAAGCAUCCGUGUCAUUGGGUCAAACUGAUGACUGCGUGGUGUUGCGGGCUCGGUCCAUUAGUCAUCCCACAAGGGUGAUUAGUGUGUUAACCGGCCCGCCCGUCCCCUCCUUCUGGAUUCCCGUUCCUGCUAUUGAGUUAGUGGGGACGUCACAGGGAAUUUAUCAUUGGCCUUCACGGGCCAGUGGUACAGUUUCUGGGGCCCAGAUCGUUUACCGUGAAAAAAUUAUAGUGUUCAAAGCAGGCAGAUUCAAUUUUCUGCCACCGAAUACAUUA